Mirounga angustirostris (Northern elephant seal) is the source of this 273-nucleotide long non-coding RNA. RefSeq lists it as uncharacterized. Lineage: Eukaryota; Metazoa; Chordata; Mammalia; Carnivora; Phocidae. The record is from RefSeq and is a predicted model, not a curated record. The transcript is spliced from 3 exons.
CCAGGGCGGCCCCGCUGCUUCCAUCCAAGGUCGUGGCCCAACGCGAGCUCUGGAAAGUUCAGCUGGGAGCCGAGGGAUACCAGGGGGCAAGGAGUUAAUAUGGCCAGAUCAUCUCAUUUUUAAAGAGAAGCUGUCCAUCAGAUAUGUUAACAUUACUUGGUGAUGAGAUGUGGAAUCCAGAGAGGACCCCCAACAGCUCCAAGCCUGGUGAGCAAACUGGUGCUAGUACCCGAGGACCAGUUGGACUCACUGCUUUCUCACUGACCCUGGAAU